GAUGAACGCUGGCGGCGUGCCUAAUACAUGCAAGUCGAGCGAACAGAUGAGGAGCUUGCUCCUCUGACGUUAGCGGCGGACGGGUGAGUAACACGUGGAUAACCUACCUAUAAGACUGGGAUAACUUCGGGAAACCGGAGCUAAUACCGGAUAAUAUAUUGAACCGCAUGGUUCAAUAGUGAAAGACGGUUUUGCUGUCACUUAUAGAUGGAUCCGCGCCUCAUUAGAUAGUUGGUAAGGUAACGGCUUACCAAGGCAACGAUGCGUAGCCGACCUGAGAGGGUGAUCGGCCACACUGGAACUGAGACACGGUCAAGACUCCUACGGGAGGCAGCAGUAGGGAAUCUUCCGCAAUGGGCGAAAGCCUGACGGAGCAACGCCGAGUGAGUGAUGAAGGUCUUCGGAUCGUAAAACUCUGUUAUUAGGGAAGAACAAAUGUGUAAGUAACUAUGCACGUCUUGACGGUAACUAAUCAGAAAGCCACGGCUAACUACGUG
This 497-nucleotide ribosomal RNA is filed under the name uncultured bacterium. RNAcentral describes it as "partial 16S ribosomal RNA". It matches the Rfam family "Bacterial small subunit ribosomal RNA", at positions 28 to 507 of the family's 1533-position model. The record is from RNAcentral.